AUUUAGGAAAUGCAAUGGAAUUAAAAACUAUACCCUAAAACUAUACACUAAAAGACAUUAUUGAAAUGUAGUGAAAUUCAAAACUAUACACUAAAAGACAAAGAGAGAAGACUAAACCCAAGGAAAACCAUAUAUCAUAUGGAAUGAAGUUUAAAACUAUACCCUAAAGCCUUAGAUUACUAGAAUUUAGAAUUCCAAGUAAAUAAAU
Molecule: small RNA, 208 nt
Filed under: Arabidopsis thaliana (thale cress)
Lineage: Eukaryota; Viridiplantae; Streptophyta; Magnoliopsida; Brassicales; Brassicaceae
Description: ATSL135420
Source: RNAcentral